This 520-nucleotide ribosomal RNA is filed under the name Bacteroidota bacterium. RNAcentral's name for it is "bacterial SSU rRNA". It matches the Rfam family "Bacterial small subunit ribosomal RNA", at positions 1 to 516 of the family's 1533-position model. Lineage: Bacteria; Pseudomonadati; Bacteroidota. The record is from RNAcentral.
ACAAUGGAGAGUUUGAUCCUGGCUCAGGAUGAACGCUAGCGGCAGGCCUAACACAUGCAAGUCGAGGGGCAGUCACGUCUUCGGACGUGAGCGACCGGCGCACGGGUGCGUAACGCGUAUGCAACCUACCUACUACAGGGGGAUAGGUCCCGGAAACGGGAAUUAAUACCGCAUAAUACUAUAAAACGGCAUUGUUUAAUAGUUAAAGCUCUUCGGAGCGGUAGCAGAUGGGCAUGCGUAUGAUUAGCUUGUUGGUGAGGUAAUGGCUCACCAAGGCAACGAUCAUUAGCGGGUCUGAGAGGAUGAUCCGCCACACUGGGACUGAGACACGGCCCAGACUCCUACGGGAGGCAGCAGUGAGGAAUAUUGGUCAAUGGUGGCAACCCUGAACCAGCCAUGCCGCGUGCAGGAAGACAGCCUUCUGGGUUGUAAACUGCUUUUAUAUAGGAACAAAAAGGUCCUGCGGGACAUAUUGAGGGUACUGUAUGAAUAAGCACCGGCUAACUCCGUGCCAGCAGCC